GGAACUUCCUGUGCUUUAGUUUGUGGCUGUUUCCCCUUGUCCUGUCGCUGUGCAUCGCUGAAAGGACAAGAGGAAAUGGUUUCAAACUAAAAGAGAGGAGAUUUAGAUAC
RNAcentral lists this microRNA precursor (110 nucleotides) under Gallus gallus (chicken). RNAcentral's name for it is "microRNA gga-mir-6603 precursor". Lineage: Eukaryota; Metazoa; Chordata; Aves; Galliformes; Phasianidae. The record is from miRBase by way of RNAcentral.